AUAGGCUUUGCCUGAUGACUGCCUUCCAGUAGACAUUACAGAACCUGGUAAGUUAGACGAGAUAUUUGACCUGAUGGAUGCAAACAGCGAUGGCAAAGUCACCUUUGAUGAGUUCAAAACUGCAAUGCAAAGAGAUAGCUCUCUCCAAGAUGUGGUCCUCUCCUCUCUUCGUCCCUAGCCUCAUUCCAGUUUCAAUAAUGCAUGUUUUCCUUAACAUGUAUAUAUAUAUAUAUAUAUAUAUAUAUAUAGCAAAUUGGUAUAGUAUCAGUAGGAAAACACACUUUUCCAAGCUGACUGCUUUAAGUUUUGUUUGCCUUUUACGCUCGCCACUUUGAUUUAUUACUCGGAAUUGAUUCAAGUUAUAUACUUUUCAUUUUAUGUGCAUCCAUUUAUCUACUGAAAUAUUUCUACAAACAUAUAUUUCAGAAUGUUAGAAUUCUGAUAUGAUGCUACUUAAAUAUAUGUUGAUAUCAUUGGAAUGGAGAUCCCAAGGGUCUUUUUCCUCGUACUUGUCAAAGAAGAAUUAUAAUUUGAUGAAUAAGAAGAAAUUAAUUAUGGUUUGGUUAUAUAAUUAGUACUUUCAUCUCUUUCUUUGAGACUAUGAAUUCAAACUCUGAAUUGUGCAUAAAAAACGAUGAAAAGAAACAUACCAAAUUAACAGCCAGCUUAAUCACCCAAAUCCGAAAUCAUUUAGAAAACAGUUGUAUAUUCAAAACCAAAAGCCAAUUAUAUAUAAACAACAGCUAGAAAUGCAGAUUACUAUAAUUUGGAUUUAAAGAAAAGGCAAAUGAGAAAUCAAAAUCAAAACACGUAAACCAGUAAAAACAUAAUUGAUUUGAUUUCUCACUAUAGCAUGAGAUUGAGAGGCCAGGCAGUAGUUUAUUUUUUUUAUGUUUUCAUUAGCAUCCUUUCUUGAGGUUAAAUCAUCAUGUUUUUGGAUUAGAUUAACCGCAUAGCUCAAAAUUUACAAGCUGCUCAAACUAACUAAGAUCAAUAUGUAAAAACUAAAUCACAAAUAGCAUUAAUUUCAAAAAGAAAAACUACAAGUAUCAUUUAUUACAAUAGCCCAUCUGCAGAACCAUUAACACAAAAAUUUCUUCACAAGAAACAUGAUUUUGAUUUUCAAGAAUGAAGACCAAUUCAUUUUGCUUGAAGACGGAGAAAUAAUGAGAAAAGCAGAACCUCUAUUAGUUCACAGUUUCUUUUUGACAAUCUAAUGAUAUACAUAAUUCACACAUGAAAAGCUAGCCAAAAGAACCUUAGAUCAUAGAGGCAAAGAGAGAAGAUGUAUUCGCAAUUCUUCCACCACAAAGUAGCAGGCUGCCCGACUCUAAUCUGUUCUUAAAAGCCACACAGUCAAACAACAAGCUCUGUACUUUACUCUGCUCGUCAUACUUCUCCAAAUCAAUGGGUUUUGAUCUUCCAAUCGGUGCAUUAUCAUCAAGUUGCUCUCUUUCUUUUCCAAAACUUCUGACAUAUUUUCUAAUGUCUUCCUGAACCUCAAGGGCUUCAGUUGAUUUCCGAGAGAAGGAGAACCGAUAUUUCCCACCAUGCUCUACAUUUUUGCAGUCCAGAAUGGCUGCAGCUUGCGUUGGCCUCUUAGUACUGCUGCUAGCAUCAAAUUCCAAGGCAUUACUGUUGUAUGUAACCCGACUAUCCUGAAUGAUGAACAAGGAAAGGUAAAAUUUAGUGUAAGUUCAUGGUGGAAGAAUAAAAAGAGUAGCUUCUCCCUAUCGUUAAAGCUUCCGGAAAAGUGAAAGUUCCAGGAUAAUUCCUCUGCUUGUGACAACCAAAAUGGCGUGAAUCAAGAAAUUGAAAUACAAUUUAUAAGUAUUCAAAAACCAGAUUCUACAGUCAGGGAAAUUAUGAAACACCACAAAAUCUGGAGUGUAGGAAAGACUAGUCAUAUCUCUUGCUCCAUGGUCGUUAAGGUUUCUAAAAAAAGAAAAUUUCCAAGAGAUGGAACCAUUAUCUCAAAUAAUAGUAAAUCAUAAUAAAGAAUAUGGGAGAAAAAGGAAAUUCUAGAUGAUCUAGAUAAUCUAUAAUCUCAGAAAUUGAGAAGCAAAAGAAACAUUAUGAAUCCAAGGAUCAUCCCAGGAAGAAGGUUAAAAACAAGGAAGAACCAUCAGUGAACCAUCAACUGAAUGAAAGGUAAGAAGGAAAACAGAGACCAUUGCCCUCCAUGGCCUUUUGUAAGUGCUUGAAAUAAAUACUCCAAAAUCUCAUCCAUUCUGAUGAAGACCAUAGUUGCCCUCUACAACCAUUUCCUACUAAGAAUAAGGUUCUAAAGACAAUCUUGGUAAGUUAAAAGAGACAAAUUUUUAUAAUAAAAAUUCCAAUACCAAGACAACCUUCCUCUUAGACUCCAAUAUCUAUCCGAGUUGACUAAAUGAUAACUUUUGAUUCACUCAAACCCAACCAAAUCAAAGCUUUCAUAAGCCACUUUAAUAUUGUCAGCCACACCUCUGGGGAUUUUGGAAAGAGAAAAUACAAGGGGAUGCUAGAAAAACAUGAUUAAAUUGGAGUGACCCACCCCCAAGCUAGAAAAGAGCACCCUUCCAAUUUUUUCUAGGAAUUUAGAAAUCUUAGAAACCUUGGCUUUUCAAAAGGCAAAUGACAAGUUUUCUUUCUAGGAGUUUGGAAAUCUUAGAAACCAUAGGUUAUCAAAAGGCAAAUAACAAAUUUCCCCACCAAGGGACACCACAGUAGCAACCAUCUAGUCUAAACAUCAAACCCUAUAGAGAUAGCAAGGUCAUGCACAUCUUGAGCCCCCGACAUUAAUGCCCUCGAUCUUACUCUUCCUAAGGUUAAGACACAAACCUGAUAUUACCUCAAAACAUUCACAACUAAGCACACAUAAAACAAAUUUCAAAAUAUUCCACAUAAAAACACAUNNNNNNNNNNNNNNNNNNNNNNNNNNNNNNNNNNNNNNNNNNNNNNNNNNNNNNNNNNNNNNNNNNNNNNNNNNNNNNNNNNNNNNNNNNNNNNNNNNNNNNNNNNNNNNNNNNNNNNNNNNNNNNNNCAAUAUAUAUAUUUCAUCUCAAUAUAUCUGUGCCCAGAUGUAUGACACUGAUCGAUCGGGAUGCAUCACCAAGGAGGAGGUAGCGUCGAUGCUGAGAGUAAGGCUCUUGCUCCUAACCAUUCAUAUAUAUAUAUAUAUAUAUAUAUAUAUGUAGAAUGAAUGUGUGUGUGUAUAUAUUGAUGAUGACAAGGAAAUUUAAUUAACUGGGUAUGUAUUAUAUGUAUACAUAGGCUUUGCCUGAUGACUGCCUUCCAGUAGACAUUACAGAACCUGGUAAGUUAGACGAGAUAUUUGACCUGAUGGAUGCAAACAGCGAUGGCAAAGUCACCUUUGAUGAGUUCAAAACUGCAAUGCAAAGAGAUAGCUCUCUCCAAGAUGUGGUCCUCUCCUCUCUUCGUCCCUAGCCUCAUUCCAGUUUCAAUAAUGCA
RNAcentral lists this long non-coding RNA (3450 nucleotides) under Carica papaya (papaya). RNAcentral's name for it is "long non-coding RNA (CPAP_LNC008571)". The record is from RNAcentral. Lineage: Eukaryota; Viridiplantae; Streptophyta; Magnoliopsida; Brassicales; Caricaceae.